Passer domesticus (house sparrow) is the source of this 4242-nucleotide long non-coding RNA. RefSeq lists it as uncharacterized. The record is from RefSeq and is a predicted model, not a curated record. The transcript has 4 exons. Lineage: Eukaryota; Metazoa; Chordata; Aves; Passeriformes; Passeridae.
CCAUGAGCAGAACUGGAGAAGGACAAUCAGGACUCCUGGUGGCCUCCAGAUGCUAAGAGUACAGCACCACUGUGAUCUGUUACUGCAGGUAACUCUCUUAUUAAUUGUACAUCUUUACCAGAUGUACAAUUGGAGGAGAAAAUGAAGCUUUAAAUCAAACUUUUUCUUUUUCCUGUAAACUGACCUGAGUGAAUUUGACAAAUAUUGGUGAUAAUAAAAAUAAAGAUUUUUUAGUACCAUCUAGAUGUCCUUAAGAGAGAUACCCAAAUAUUCUAAACAAAGUCCAAGUUUGGUCUUGAACCAAAGACUUCCAUGCAUUCUCCUCUGAAUUUUAAUUGAAACACAAAUUAAGACAAUGCAUGAGACAGCUACAAACUGCCCAUCAGGCCCUGAGAAUCAGCUGUGAUUCAAAGAUCAUCCUCUGGAUCUCACUGCUUCCAAAAAGUAGGUGGUAGUUUAGCAAAAUAAGGGUACCUAGGAUGUACAGAAGAUGUCAACAAAGACAUACAGAACUGGAAUUUUUGUGUUCUUUUUUUUCUAGUAUUUUUAUUAAAAUAUGAGGGACUGUAUCAGAGAGCAUUUAAUGCAAUCUCUUUAUGUGAUAAAAAACAAAAAUAAGAUUUCCAAGAAACCAGCCUAAACUGGUUUCUAACUUCAGUUGAUGGUAACUAUAGACAAAGUCAUGUUCAGUGUAAGUUAGCCUUCCUGUACUUAUUUCAUGCAAGAGUAAUUGGGCUUCAUGCAGAGUGAGACCAGGGAAUCUGGCAGGAUUCCCUUCACAAAGCUACUGCCCAAGAGAUAGGCUUUUACUUGUUUGAUACAGAAUAGCUGUUGUCUCUGUGAAAACAGAUACGUGUUAUAUUCUUGUACAAGUAGGAGUUCUGGAAACUCAUUUAAAGUUGUCCCUGUGGUUUAAAAAGGAAAUAUUGAUCUAUUUUAAACUUUCAAAAUUAAGUUGACUUUAAUAGCAGUGAUUUUAGUGUCACAUGGAAAAAAAUUACUUUGAACAAGCUUUGAAUACCUCUUUGUUGUCAAUAAUUUAUGAUUCAUAACUGAAAUAUACUUCUAUAUUUAAUGCUCAGAAUAAAUAUGGGAUCUCUAACAAGAAAAAAGAACAAAUUUGAGGAGUGAAUGGUACACACUGUUAAUAUGAUACAAAGAACUUGGACCCUUGGGAACUAUUUUUCAACCCUAAAAAUACCAACAAGGUGGUGUGAUCUAAGAGUGGUAAAAGCAAAAUAAAUCUAAGAGCUUGAAACUGACUUUCUAUUCUGAAGAAUAUAAAUUGCUGCAGCUUCUUGUUGAGAAAGAGCCUCAAGAUUAGAACAGAGAAAAUUAAAUUAUGUUCCUGUUCCUUUGGCUACUGGGAGGAUUGUGUUUUAGAGAUGGUUUUAAAGGUACAUGGUCACUCUUAAAGGGUAUUUCCUUAUGGCUGAGAAACUCUGGGUGCAAAUGAAGAAGAAGGAAGCUUUAUGUGCAUUGCAAGCCAAGCAAGUGAAAGUCCUUGUCUGUUUAUCCAUUUGCUAAUCACCUCCUGCCCCUGUUGAUCUACAAACAUCCAUGCAUGAAUACAGAUGUAUCCAUUUUGCUGGCCUCUGUGAGAAGAGGCUUAGGCUGCCUCCCCUUGCCGGACACAUCCAAUUCCACCUGUCUUCAAUGAACCCAAAGCAGGGCACAGCUGAGCUUAUCAGCAACGAUAGUGGUGCCUCUGGGAAAAUGUAUUUAAGCAAAGGCAGAAAACACCACAUGGGCAGAGGAAACAAAAACAGAGGGAGCACAAAAGUCAAAGGAGGAGGCAGUACUCCAUGAGAGGAUAGGUUUUCCUUCUUGCCUGUGGGUGAACUGCACCAGAGAAUGUUUAUUCUUAUACUUAGUCCUGCUAUCUUUUCAAUGAGAAAAUACCAACAUGAGCCAACCUGAAGUAUUUUACUACUCAUAUAUGUUUAACAAACAUGAUUGAAAAGCAUGAGAAAGAACAGGAAUUUUAUGGGAUCUGAAAGUAAAAUAUUGUAAAAAGUCACAUUAGAAUGAAAUGUGCUGUCGUCAGAAGCCAUGAAGUGCAUCAUAAAAUGCCACAUGCUGGCCCUACCAGUAACAGAUGCAACUCCAGGACUUGAGCAAGGUGUCCUUGCUCAGACCAGAGUUGGUGCCUUGAAAUAUUAAGAAAAAUUGUCUCAUAAAAAUUAUAUCAGAAGGGAAAACAGUAACUCAUAAUAAAAUUCCAAAUUGAAAUCCACUUAAAAGGGUCCCAGUAAGCCUCUCUAUAAUACCUCUGGACCCAAUUUCUUGAAAAAUUCAAGAAAUAUAGAUGUAGAUAACCAAACAGAUACUAGAUUUUGGUUUCUACAGUAAAACUGUUUUCAGCUUGGGGAAAUAUAUGUAAGCAAAUAUGUGAAAGUAAAGACUUCAAAACAGACAGGAGUGAGCUAUUGAAAGUAUAAGGCUAUUACUAAAUUUCAGGCUAUGAUUACAGUUGUGCAUGUAGGAAUUACAAUAAGCUACUGGUAGUAAAAGAAAAAAAAAAGAAAUAAAUAAUGCAAUUUAAUUGGAAUAGUUUAUUAUCUCAUGGAAUUAUAUUAGCUAAAAAUGUGUAAGUAUUUUAAAGAACUUAUCAUUGCUUCCAAAAUAUUUAAGAAAAUACCAGAAGCUGCAAAGUUUUUACUGCAGCGAUCCCGUGGGUGAUGAUGACAGAAGCCCUCUUUUCAAGGGCUGUGACUUUCAUGUGUGCCAAACCAAAUUUACUUCAGUUAACAUAAAAUUAAAUUAAAGCAGAUAAUAAACUAUGUGCAGAAGUGGAUCUUGAUGAUGGACUGUGAUUGCUGACUUACAAACCAAGGCUCAAAAUUUUAUUGUAGCUGUAAUUCUCCAGGAAGAAUGUUUAGUCUAUUAACCUGCAUGUGUGAAGUGCAAAUUCUUCAGCAGAAGUCCUCUGCUAACACUUCACAAUCGUACAUAGGUUUUCAAGUUGUAAGGAAGAGAUUAUUCUUGAAAAUGUUCGCAUGGGCCUUUUUGGCAAGAGUCAGGAGUAGGAAAGGAGCUGAAAUGUGGUAGUCACAAUUCAUUUAAUCACAAGACAAGUUUCUGAUGUAAUGUAAUCCAAUAAAAUGUGGUAUGACUCCACUGCUGUCAAUUAAGGAGUUAGUGUGAAGGUUCCACAAGAACAUGGGGAAAUACUUGUAUUUAUAAACUGAAUUAAAUAUGAUAAUGAGAACAUCCCCUCUGAGUCUAACAAUAUGAUUUGUUGAUUGAUAUCCAAGAACAAACUUUAUAGAAACAUGCACAAAAGGAUUUCUACAUAGAAAUCAGCAGUAUUUUAUGAAGAAGGAUUCUGUCACAGAUCACAUUUUUUACUCCUACUGUAUAAAAAUGGACACUCUGGACAAGAUAAUGAAUGAAUGAUUAAAGACACUACUAAAGUAGCAAAGUACAAUCAUAUUUUAACAGUACUUUUCUUGACCUCUUAGAUGUACAAAAAAGUUUUAUUAAUAGAAAAAUUGAGUUUAUUACCAGAAAUGUUAACAUUUUAGAGGGAUGCCAUCAAUUGCUUUAUAAUCAACCAUCAAGUGUUUGUCUUGACAUUUCUAUAAAUUGUUCUGUUAAUACAAAAGUUUGCAUUAGAAAAAUACAAUUAGAACACAGUUUUUAAAAGCAUGAAAUUUAAGUCCAUCAGAAAAGUAAUAAAACUGUUAACACUGUAUUGCAGUUUUUAAUUGUACAAUCCAUUGUAUAAUUUGUUAAAUUGUAAGAGAAAUAUACGGGCUAUGAUUACAAUAUCAAAUUUGAUUAAAGUAAGAAGUUCAUAUUAUGCAACCCAAACCUAGUAAGUUAAAAAAAUAUAUACAUUUUAUGUGUCCUAGUUCCAGCGGAUUUAUAUAAUAUUUGCCUGGAUUUCCUUUCUUUCUUACCUGUUAUGAUGGAGGAGUGAGUCAGAGACAGAGACAACACACACCCCAGAAUUCUCAUGCAACAGCAGUGUAUUUUAUUCUUCCUACCUCCUUAAACAGGAGGAUUUGAAUCUCCUGGUCCAGACAACUCAUUGGUCUGGCUUAAGCACUGCCCAGCCCUGGCCAGUGAGAUGUCUGCAGCUUAGGGUGGAACAUAAUUGUGUGAAGUCCCUGUGUGUAUUGAAAUCUACCCCAUCAUAGCUUAACCCAGGGGCUGGUUUAUGGAACCAGGCUGGGUUAUUUAUAAUCAAAUUAUUUGCCUAGUACAAGCUAGCUGUAACACACCUUCAUCCAUUUG